GACGAGCGCUGGCGGCGUGCUUAACACAUGCAAGUCGAACGGAAGGGCCUCUUUCGGGGGGUACUCGAGUGGCGAACGGGUGAGUAACACGUGAGUAACCUGCCCUUGACUUUGGGAUAACUUCAGGAAACUGGGGCUAAUACCGGAUAGGAGCUCCUGCUGCAUGGUGGGGGUUGGAAAGUUUCGGCGGUUGGGGAUGGACUCGCGGCUUAUCAGCUUGUUGGUGGGGUAGUGGCUUACCAAGGCUUUGACGGGUAGCCGGCCUGAGAGGGUGACCGGCCACAUUGGGACUGAGAUACGGCCCAGACUCCUACGGGAGGCAGCAGGGGGGAAUAUUGCACAAGGGGUGGAAGCCUGAUGCAGCAACGCCGUGGGCGGGAGGACGGCCUUCGGGUUGUAAACCGCUUUCGCUCAUGACGAAGCUUUGUGUGACGGUAGUGGGUAAAGAAGCACCGGCUAACUACGUG
This 467-nucleotide ribosomal RNA is filed under the name uncultured bacterium. RNAcentral describes it as "partial 16S ribosomal RNA". It matches the Rfam family "Bacterial small subunit ribosomal RNA", at positions 28 to 507 of the family's 1533-position model. The record is from RNAcentral.